AGUGAACGCUGGCGGUAGGCCUAACACAUGCAAGUCGAACGGCAGCACAGUAAGAGCUUGCUCUUACGGGUGGCGAGUGGCGGACGGGUGAGGAAUACAUCGGAAUCUACUUUUUCGUGGGGGAUAACGUAGGGAAACUUACGCUAAUACCGCAUACGACCUACGGGUGAAAGCAGGGGAUCUUCGGACCUUGCGCGAUUGAAUGAGCCGAUGUCGGAUUAGCUAGUUGGCGGGGUAAAGGCCCACCAAGGCGACGAUCCGUAGCUGGUCUGAGAGGAUGAUCAGCCACACUGGAACUGAGACACGGUCCAGACUCCUACGGGAGGCAGCAGUGGGGAAUAUUGGAUAAUGGGCGCAAGCCUGAUCCAGCCAUACCGCGUGGGUGAAGAAGGCCUUCGGGUUGUAAAGCCCUUUUGUUGGGAAAGAAAAGCAGCAGGUUAAUACCCCGCUGUUCUGACGGUACCCAAAGAAUAAGCACCGGCUAACUUCGU
This 491-nucleotide ribosomal RNA is filed under the name uncultured bacterium. Its description in RNAcentral is "partial 16S ribosomal RNA". It matches the Rfam family "Bacterial small subunit ribosomal RNA", at positions 29 to 506 of the family's 1533-position model. The record is from RNAcentral.